AUGACUUGUGUUCCUCCCUAACCCGUGUUGUUCAGUAGUGCUAUUGAGGGUUUUAACUUUGAUUCUAGGAUAGAAGACUCUGCCGUCAGAUGGCGUUGCCUGUUCUUCUCUCCCCAGUUUGCAGAGUUGGAUGUGACCUCAGCACUGGAUAAGGGGAUGGAAUUGUACACCUGGUUGGAUCUACGAUGACCCAAAUGCAAUCUAGUAAGGUUUGGCCAAGUGUGGUGGG
RNAcentral lists this long non-coding RNA (229 nucleotides) under Gallus gallus (chicken). Lineage: Eukaryota; Metazoa; Chordata; Aves; Galliformes; Phasianidae. The record is from RNAcentral.